Molecule: small RNA, 93 nt
Filed under: Escherichia coli
Lineage: Bacteria; Pseudomonadati; Pseudomonadota; Gammaproteobacteria; Enterobacterales; Enterobacteriaceae
Description: partial RtT sRNA
Rfam family: RtT RNA
About the family: This family represents a bacterial cis-regulatory element known as RtT RNA. The exact function of RtT is unknown although it is thought that it may be involved in changing the cellular response in relation to amino acid starvation.
Source: RNAcentral
GGUUCGACUUGAGCGCCAGCGAGAGAGCGUUGCCGCAGGCAACGACCCGAAGGGCGAAGCGCGCAGCGCUGAGUAAUCCUUCUCCCACCACCA